This 154-nucleotide ribosomal RNA is filed under the name uncultured bacterium. RNAcentral describes it as "partial 16S ribosomal RNA". It matches the Rfam family "Bacterial small subunit ribosomal RNA", at positions 355 to 504 of the family's 1533-position model. The record is from RNAcentral.
UGGGGAAUAUUGGACAAUGGGCGCAAGCCUGAUCCAGCCAUGCCGCGUGAGUGAUGAAGGCCUUAGGGUUGUAAACUUCUUUUGUCAGGGAUGCACACUCUCUCUUCGUGAGGGAGUUAGGACAGUACCUGACGAAUAAGCAUCGGCUAACUAC